AACGCCGGCGGUGUGCCUAAUACAUGCAAGUCGAACGCGUUGGCCCAAUUGAUUGAUGGUGCUUGCACCUGAUUGAUUUUGGUCGCCAACGAGUGGCGGACGGGUGAGUAACACGUAGGUAACCUGCCCAGAAGCGGGGGACAACAUUUGGAAACAGAUGCUAAUACCGCAUAACAACGUUGUUCGCAUGAACAACGCUUAAAAGAUGGCUUCUCGCUAUCACUUCUGGAUGGACCUGCGGUGCAUUAGCUUGUUGGUGGGGUAACGGCCUACCAAGGCGAUGAUGCAUAGCCGAGUUGAGAGACUGAUCGGCCACAAUGGGACUGAGACACGGCCCAUACUCCUACGGGAGGCAGCAGUAGGGAAUCUUCCACAAUGGGCGCAAGCCUGAUGGAGCAACACCGCGUGAGUGAAGAAGGGUUUCGGCUCGUAAAGCUCUGUUGUUAAAGAAGAACACGUAUGAGAGUAACUGGUCAUACGUUGACGGUAUUUAACCAGAAAGUCACGGCUAACUA
This 515-nucleotide ribosomal RNA is filed under the name Limosilactobacillus fermentum. Its description in RNAcentral is "bacterial SSU rRNA". It matches the Rfam family "Bacterial small subunit ribosomal RNA", at positions 32 to 503 of the family's 1533-position model. Lineage: Bacteria; Bacillati; Bacillota; Bacilli; Lactobacillales; Lactobacillaceae. The record is from RNAcentral.